UCGGUGAGGACCUGCGGGCAGAUCAGGUGGACGUGGGAGUCGACGGCCCCCGCCGUGAGGAUCUUGCCGUUGCCCGCGAGGAUCUCGGUGGAGGGGCCGAUGACGAUGUCGACGCCGUCCAUGGUGUCGGGGUUGCCCGCCUUGCCGACGGCGGUGAUCCUGCCGUCCCUGACGGCGACGUCGGCCUUGACCACCCCCCAGUGGUCGAGGAUGACGGCGCCGGUGAUGACCAGGUCGGCCGCGCCCUCGGCGCGGGUCGUGCGGGCCUGGCCCAUGGACUCGCGG
Molecule: small RNA, 285 nt
Filed under: Nonomuraea dietziae
Lineage: Bacteria; Bacillati; Actinomycetota; Actinomycetes; Streptosporangiales; Streptosporangiaceae
Description: 5' ureB small RNA
Rfam family: 5' ureB small RNA
Source: Rfam by way of RNAcentral